GACGAACGCUGGCGGCGUGCUUAACACAUGCAAGUCGAACGGAAAGGCCCCUUUGGGGGUACUCGAGUGGCGCACGGGUGAGUAACACGUGAGUAACCUGCCCUUGACUUCGGGAUAACUUCAGGAAACUGGGGCUAAUACCGGAUAGGAAUCCUUGCUGCAUGGUGGGGGUUGGAAAGCUUCGGCGGUUUUGGAUGGACUCGCGGCUUAUCAGCUUGUUGGUGGGGUAGUGGCUUACCAAGGCUUUGACGGGUAGCCGGCCUGAGAGGGCGACCGGCCACAUUGGGACUGAGAUACGGCCCAGACGCCUACGGGAGGCAGCAGUGGGGAAUAUUGCACAAGGGGCGGAAGCCUGAUGCAGCAACGCCGCGUGCGGGAGGACGGCCUUCGGGUUGGAAACCGCUUUCAGCAGGGGCGAAGCUUGUGGUGACGGUACCUGCAGAAGAAGCACCGGCUAACUACGUG
RNAcentral lists this ribosomal RNA (465 nucleotides) under uncultured bacterium. RNAcentral's name for it is "partial 16S ribosomal RNA". It matches the Rfam family "Bacterial small subunit ribosomal RNA", at positions 28 to 507 of the family's 1533-position model. The record is from RNAcentral.